RNAcentral lists this ribosomal RNA (515 nucleotides) under uncultured bacterium. RNAcentral describes it as "partial 16S ribosomal RNA". It matches the Rfam family "Bacterial small subunit ribosomal RNA", at positions 28 to 523 of the family's 1533-position model. The record is from RNAcentral.
GAUGAACGCUGGCGGCGUGCCUAAUACAUGCAAGUCGAGCGAAUGGAUUAAGAGCUUGCUCUUAUGAAGUUAGCGGCGGACGGGUGAGUAACACGUGGGUAACCUGCCCAUAAGACUGGGAUAACUCCGGGAAACCGGGGCUAAUACCGGAUAACAUUUUGAACCGCAUGGUUCGAAAUUGAAAGGCGGCUUCGGCUGUCACUUAUGGAUGGACACGCGUCGCAUUAGCUAGUUGGUGAGGUAACGGCUCACCAAGGCAACGAUGCGUAGCCGACCUGAGAGGGGGAUCGGCCACACUGGGACUGAGACACGGCCCAGACUCCUACGGGAGGCAGCAGUAGGGAAUCUGCCGCAAUGGACGAAAGUCUGACGGAGCAACGCCGCGUGAGUGAUGAAGGCUUUCGGGUCGUAAAACUCUGUUGUUAGGGAAGAACAAGUGCUAGUUGAAUAAGCUGGCACCUUGACGGUACCUAACCAGAAAGCCACGGCUAACUACGUGCCAGCCGCCGCAGUAA